Molecule: ribosomal RNA, 484 nt
Filed under: uncultured bacterium
Lineage: Bacteria
Description: partial 16S ribosomal RNA
Rfam family: Bacterial small subunit ribosomal RNA
Source: RNAcentral
GACGAACGCUGGCGGCGUGCUUAACACAUGCAAGUCGAACGAUGAAGCCGGAGCUUGCUCUGGUGAAUUAGUGGCGAACGGGUGAGUAACACGUGAGUAACCUGCCCUUGACUCUGGGAUAACUGCUAGAAAUGGUAGCUAAUACCGGAUACGACCCUCGGAGGCAUCUCCAGGGGGUGGAAAGAAUUUCGGUCAAGGAUGGACUCGCGGCCUAUCAGCUAGUUGGUGAGGUAACGGCUCACCAAGGCGACGACGGGUAGCCGGCCUGAGAGGGUGACCGGCCACACUGGGACUGAGACACGGCCCAGACUCCUACGGGAGGCAGCAGUGGGGAAUAUUGCGCAAUGGGCGCAAGCCUGAUGCAGCAACGCCGCGUGAGGGAUGACGGCCUUCGGGUUGUAAACCUCUUUUAGUAGGGAAGAAGCGAAAGUGACGGUACCUGCAGAAAGAGCACCGGCUAACUACGUGCCAGCCGCCGCAGUAA